GCGCCUAUAGCUCAAUGGAUAGAGCAAUAGUCUUCGGAACUAUGUGUUGUCCGUUCGAGUCGGACUAGGCGCA
Molecule: transfer RNA, 73 nt
Filed under: Candidatus Omnitrophota bacterium
Lineage: Bacteria; Pseudomonadati; Candidatus Omnitrophota
Also listed under: 1 other name
Description: Candidatus Omnitrophica bacterium tRNA-Arg
Rfam family: tRNA
About the family: Transfer RNA (tRNA) molecules are approximately 80 nucleotides in length.
Source: RNAcentral